GGAAUCUUCGGCAAUGGACGAAAGUCUGACCGAGCAACGCCGCGUGAGUGAAGAAGGUUUUCGGAUCGUAAAACUCUGUUGGUAGAGAAGAACGUUGGUGAGAGUGGAAGGCUCAUCAAGUGACGGUAACUACCCAGAAAGGGACGGCUAACUACGUGCCAG
This 162-nucleotide ribosomal RNA is filed under the name uncultured bacterium. Its description in RNAcentral is "partial 16S rRNA". It matches the Rfam family "Bacterial small subunit ribosomal RNA", at positions 358 to 511 of the family's 1533-position model. The record is from RNAcentral.